GGCGGCGUGCUUACACAUGCAAGUCGAACGAUGAAGCCCUUCGGGGUGGAUUAGUGGCGAACGGGUGAGUAACACGUGGGCAAUCUGCCCUGCACUCUGGGACAAGCCCUGGAAACGGGGUCUAAUACCGGAUAUGACAUCCUCCCGCAUGGGAAGGGUGUGGAAAGCUCCGGCGGUGCAGGAUGAGCCCGCGGCCUAUCAGCUUGUUGGUGGGGUGAUGGCCUACCAAGGCGACGACGGGUAGCCGGCCUGAGAGGGCGACCGGCCACACUGGGACUGAGACACGGCCCAGACUCCUACGGGAGGCAGCAGUGGGGAAUAUUGCACAAUGGGCGAAAGCCUGAUGCAGCGACGCCGCGUGAGGGAUGACGGCCUUCGGGUUGUAAACCUCUUUCAGCAGGGAAGAACGAAAGUGACGGUACCUGCAGAAGAA
RNAcentral lists this ribosomal RNA (433 nucleotides) under Streptomyces sp. ES9. Its description in RNAcentral is "bacterial SSU rRNA". It matches the Rfam family "Bacterial small subunit ribosomal RNA", at positions 38 to 489 of the family's 1533-position model. The record is from RNAcentral. Lineage: Bacteria; Bacillati; Actinomycetota; Actinomycetes; Kitasatosporales; Streptomycetaceae. RNAcentral also lists the same sequence under 1 other name.